CCUACGGGUGGCAGCAGUGGGGAAUAUUGCGCAAUGGGCGAAAGCCUGACGCAGCGACGCCGCGUGAGGGAUGAAGGUCUUCGGAUCGUAAACCUCUGUCAGCAGGGAAGAACGGUCACUGUGCUAAUCAGCAGUGAAUUGAUGGUACCUGCAAAGGAAGCACCGGCUAACUCCGUGCCAGCAGCCGCGGUAAUACGGAGGGUGCGAGCGUUAAUCGGAAUUACUGGGCGUAAAGCGCUCGUAGGCGGUAUGUCAAGUCAAGGGUGAAAUCCCCGCGCUCAACGUGGGAACUGCCUUUGAAACGGGCAAACUGGAGUGUGUGAGAGGAUAGUGGAAUGCCAGGUGUAGGAGUGAAAUGCGUAGAUAUCUGGAGGAACAUCAGUGGCGAAGGCGACUAUCUGGCACAUAACUGACGCUGAGGAGCGAAAGCGUGGGUAGCAAACAGGAUUAGAUACCCCUGUAGUC
RNAcentral lists this ribosomal RNA (465 nucleotides) under uncultured bacterium. RNAcentral's name for it is "partial 16S ribosomal RNA". It matches the Rfam family "Bacterial small subunit ribosomal RNA", at positions 338 to 795 of the family's 1533-position model. The record is from RNAcentral.